Molecule: ribosomal RNA, 250 nt
Filed under: uncultured bacterium
Lineage: Bacteria
Description: partial 16S ribosomal RNA
Rfam family: Bacterial small subunit ribosomal RNA
Source: RNAcentral
CCGCGGUAAUACAGAGACUGCAAGCGUUAUUCGGAUUCACUGGGCGUAAAGGGUGCGCAGGCGGCCAAGUGUGUUAGGCGUGAAAGCCCGGGGCUUAACCCCGGAAUUGCACCUAAAACUACAUGGCUAGAGCAUUGGAGAGGGUAGCGGAAUUCACGGUGUAGCAGUGAAAUGCGUAGAUAUCGUGAGGAACACCAGAGGCGAAGGCGGCUACCUGGACAAUUGCUGACGCUCAGGCACGAAAGCGUGG